UACGGGGGGGGCAAGCGUUGUUCGCAAUUACUGGGCGUAAAGGGCUCGUAGGCGGCAACUAAGUCGGAUGUGAAAUCCCCAGGCUCAACUUGGGAACUGCAUCCGAUACUGGAUGGCUUGAAUUCGGGAGAGGGAUGCAGAAUUCCAGGUGUAGCGGUGAAAUGCGUAGAUAUCUGGAGGAAUACCGGUGGCGAAGGCGGCAUCCUGGACCGACAUUGACGCUGAGGAGCGAAAGCUAGGGGAGCAAACGGG
This 252-nucleotide ribosomal RNA is filed under the name uncultured bacterium. Its description in RNAcentral is "partial 16S ribosomal RNA". It matches the Rfam family "Bacterial small subunit ribosomal RNA", at positions 524 to 776 of the family's 1533-position model. The record is from RNAcentral.